This 1233-nucleotide ribosomal RNA is filed under the name metagenome. RNAcentral's name for it is "SSU rRNA". It matches the Rfam family "Eukaryotic small subunit ribosomal RNA", at positions 537 to 1793 of the family's 1831-position model. The record is from RNAcentral.
ACGAGGAUCUAUUGGAGGGCAAGUCUGGUGCCAGCAGCCGCGGUAAUUCCAGCUCCAAUAGCGUAUAUUAAAGUUGUUGCGGUUAAAAAGCUCGUAGUUGGAUCUCGGUUUCACUCAGGCGGUACACCUUGCGGUGUUCACUGUCUGGGCGGACGUUUCUGUUGGUUCGCUGUUGGUUCUCUUAAUCGAGUGCCAAUUGGUGGCCAGCACGUUUACUUUGAAAAAAUUGGAGUGCUCAAAGCAGGCGUUACAGCCUGAACAUUAGUGCAUGGAAUAAUGGAAUAGGAUCUCGAUUCUAUUUCGUUGGCUUUCGGAGUCGAGGUAAUGAUUAAUAGGGACAGACGGGGGCAUUCGUACUGCGACGUUAGAGGUGAAAUUCUUGGAUCGUCGCAAGACGAACUACUGCGAAAGCAUUUGCCAAGAAUGUUUUCAUUAAUCAAGAACGAAAGUUAGAGGUUCGAAGGCGAUCAGAUACCGCCCUAGUUCUAACCAUAAACGAUGCCAACCGGCGAUCCGUCGUCGUUAAUUGAAUGACUCGACGGGCAGCCUCCGGGAAACCAGAGUGUUUGGGUUCCGGGGGAAGUAUGGUUGCAAAGCUGAAACUUAAAGGAAUUGACGGAAGGGCACCACCAGGAGUGGAGCCUGCGGCUUAAUUUGACUCAACACGGGAAAUCUCACCAGGCCCGGACACCGGAAGGAUUGACAGAUUGAGAGCUCUUUCUUGAUUCGGUGGGUGGUGGUGCAUGGCCGUUCUUAGUUGGUGGAGCGAUUUGUCUGGUUAAUUCCGAUAACGAACGAGACUCUGGCCUACUAACUAGAAGGGUCGUUCUUUACGAGCGGCCCUCUGCUUCUUAGAGGGACGGGCGGCGUUUAGCCGCACGAGAAUGAGCAAUAACAGGUCUGUGAUGCCCUUAGAUGUUCUGGGCUGCACGCGCGCUACACUGAAGGAAUCAGCAUGUUCUCCCCUCCCUGAAAAGGGCGGGUAACCCGUUGAAACUCCUUCGUGAUGGGGAUUGGAGAUUGUAAUUAUUCUCCAUGAACGAGGAAUUCCCAGUAGGCGCGAGUCAUCAGCUUGCGUCGAUUACGUCCCUGCCCUUUGUACACACCGCCCGUCGCUACUACCGAUCGAGUGAUUUAGUGAGGACUUCGGACUGGUCUCCAAGUUGGCUUCGGUCAGCUCGGAGUUCCGGAAAGAUGCCCAAACUUGAUCACUUAGAGGAAGUAAAAGUCGUA